RNAcentral lists this ribosomal RNA (279 nucleotides) under uncultured bacterium. Its description in RNAcentral is "partial 16S ribosomal RNA". It matches the Rfam family "Bacterial small subunit ribosomal RNA", at positions 506 to 784 of the family's 1533-position model. The record is from RNAcentral.
UGCCAGCCGCCGCGGUAAUACGGAGGGUGCAAGCGUUGUUCGGAAUUAUUGGGCGUAAAGCGCGUGUAGGCGGUUCGUUAAGUCUGAUGUGAAAGCCCGGGGCUUAACUCCGGAACUGCUCUUAAAACUGUGGAGCUAGAGACAAUCAGAGGUGGGUGGAAUUCCAGGUGUAGAGGUGAAAUUCGUAGAUAUCUGGAGGAACACCGGUGGCGAAGGCGGCCUGCUGGACCUUAUCUGACGCUAAGGCGCGAAAGCGUGGGGAGCAAACAGGAUUAGAUA